This 76-nucleotide transfer RNA is filed under the name Solemya velum gill symbiont. Its description in RNAcentral is "tRNA-Thr". It matches the Rfam family "tRNA". Rfam says of the family: Transfer RNA (tRNA) molecules are approximately 80 nucleotides in length. Their secondary structure includes four short double-helical elements and three loops (D, anti-codon, and T loops). Further hydrogen bonds mediate the characteristic L-shaped molecular structure. tRNAs have two regions of fundamental functional importance: the anti-codon, which is responsible for specific mRNA codon recognition, and the 3' end, to which the tRNAs corresponding amino acid is attached (by aminoacyl-tRNA synthetases). tRNAs cope with the degeneracy of the genetic code in two manners: having more than one tRNA (with a specific anti-codon) for a particular amino acid; and 'wobble' base-pairing, i.e. permitting non-standard base-pairing at the 3rd anti-codon position. RNAcentral also lists the same sequence under 3 other names. The record is from RNAcentral. Lineage: Bacteria; Pseudomonadati; Pseudomonadota; Gammaproteobacteria.
GCCCAGAUAGCUCAGUUGGUAGAGCACACCCUUGGUAAGGGUGAGGUCGGCGGUUCAAAUCCGCUUCUGGGCUCCA